UUUUUAUGCCCCACCUACGAUAGUAGAGGGGCAUUAUGUUUUCUGGUCUGUGCGUCCGUUCGUUCGUCCGUCCGUUCGUUCGUCCGUCCGUCCGUCCGUCCGUCCGUCUGUCCCGCUUCAGGUUAAAGUUUUUGGUCGAGGUAGUUUUUGAUGAAGUUGAAGUCCAAUCAACUUUAAACUUGGUACACAUGUUCCCUAUGAUAUGAUCUUUCUAAUUUUAAUGCCAAAUUAGAGAUUUUACCCCAAUUUCACGGUCCACUGAACAUAGAAAAUGAUAGUGCAAGUGGGGCA
RNAcentral lists this long non-coding RNA (291 nucleotides) under Mytilus galloprovincialis (Mediterranean mussel). Lineage: Eukaryota; Metazoa; Mollusca; Bivalvia; Mytilida; Mytilidae. The record is from RNAcentral.